GACGAACGCUGGCGGCGUGCCUAAUAUAUGCAAGUCGAACGCACUCUCGUUUAGAUUGAAGGAGCUUGCUCCUGAUUGAUAAACAUUUGAGUGAGUGGCGGACGGGUGAGUAACACGUGGGUAACCUGCCCUAAAGUGGGGGAUAACAUUUGGAAACAGAUGCUAAUACCGCAUAAAACCUAACACCGCAUGGUGUAGGGUUGAAAGAUGGUUUCGGCUAUCACUUUAGGAUGGACCCGCGGUGCAUUAGUUAGUUGGUGAGGUAAAGGCUCACCAAGACCGUGAUGCAUAGCCGACCUGAGAGGGUAAUCGGCCACACUGGGACUGAGACACGGCCCAGACUCCUACGGGAGGCAGCAGUAGGGAAUCUUCCACAAUGGACGAAAGUCUGAUGGAGCAACGCCGCGUGAGUGAAGAAGGUUUUCGGAUCGUAAAACUCUAGUUGUUGGAGAAGAAUAGUAUCUGAUAGUAACUGAUCAGGUAGUGACGGUAUCCAACCAGAAAGCCACGG
RNAcentral lists this ribosomal RNA (511 nucleotides) under uncultured bacterium. RNAcentral describes it as "bacterial SSU rRNA". It matches the Rfam family "Bacterial small subunit ribosomal RNA", at positions 28 to 496 of the family's 1533-position model. The record is from RNAcentral.